RNAcentral lists this ribosomal RNA (352 nucleotides) under uncultured Leptolinea sp. Its description in RNAcentral is "bacterial SSU rRNA". It matches the Rfam family "Bacterial small subunit ribosomal RNA", at positions 1014 to 1382 of the family's 1533-position model. Lineage: Bacteria; Bacillati; Chloroflexota; Anaerolineae; Anaerolineales; Anaerolineaceae. The record is from RNAcentral.
GACCCUUCGGGAGCUUGCACAGGUGCUGCAUGGCUGUCGUCAGCUCGUGUCGCGAGAUGUUCGGUUAAGUCCGCUAACGAGCGCAACCCUCGCUGUGUGUUAUAUGUGUCACACGGGACUGCCGGUCUUAAGCCGGAGGAAGGUGGGGAUGAUGUCAAGUCAGCAUGGCCUUUAUAUCCUGGGCUACACACACGCUACAAUGGCCAACACAAUAGGUUGCUAAGCCGCGAGGUGGCGCCAAUCCAUAAAGUUGGUCUCAGUUCAGAUUGUAGGCUGCAACCCGCCUGCAUGAAGAUGGAGUUGCUAGUAACCGCAGGUCAGCUAUACUGCGGUGAAUACGUUCCCGGGGCUU